This 163-nucleotide ribosomal RNA is filed under the name Pinguicula jackii. RNAcentral describes it as "5.8S rRNA". It matches the Rfam family "5.8S ribosomal RNA". From Rfam's summary of the family: 5.8S ribosomal RNA (5.8S rRNA) is a component of the large subunit of the eukaryotic ribosome. Lineage: Eukaryota; Viridiplantae; Streptophyta; Magnoliopsida; Lamiales; Lentibulariaceae. RNAcentral also lists the same sequence under 1 other name. The record is from RNAcentral.
GACUCUCGGCAACGGAUAUCUCGGCUCCCGCAUCGAUGAAGAACGUAGCAAAAUGCGAUACUUGGUGUGAAUUGCAGAAUCCCGUGAACCAUCGAGUCUUUGAACGCAAGUUGCGCCCGAAGCCAUCCGGCCUAGGGCACGCCUGCCUGGGCGUCACGCCUAG